AAUAGAUACCCUGGUAGUCCACGCCGUAAACGAUGAGUGCUAAGUGUUAGAGGGUUUCCGCCCUUUAGUGCUGCAGCUAACGCACUAAGCACUCCGCCUGGGGGAGUACGGUCGCAAGACUGAAACUCAAAGGGAAUUGACGGGGGCCCGCACAAGCGGUGGAGCAUGUGGUUUAAUUCGAAGCAACGCGAAGAACCUUACCAGGUCUUGACAUCCUCUGACAACUCUAGAGAUAGAGCGUUCCCCUUCGGGGGACAGAGUGACAGGUGGUGCAUGGUUGUCGUCAGCUCGUGUCGUGAGAUGUUGGGUUAAGUCCCGCAACGAGCGCAACCCUUGAUCUUAGUUGCCAGCAUUUAGUUGGGCACUCUAAGGUGACUGCCGGUGACAAACCGGAGGAAGGUGGGGAUGACGUCAAAUCAUCAUGCCCUUAUGACCUGGGCUACACACGUGCUACAAUGGAUGGUACAAAGGGCUGCAAGACCGCGAGGUCAAGCCAAUCCCAUAAAACCAUUCUCAGUUCGGAUUGAGGU
This 530-nucleotide ribosomal RNA is filed under the name uncultured bacterium. RNAcentral describes it as "bacterial SSU rRNA". It matches the Rfam family "Bacterial small subunit ribosomal RNA", at positions 777 to 1304 of the family's 1533-position model. The record is from RNAcentral.